UCAGUGCCUCUUCUCACAUGUGUUGCAGGGGUUCACAUAGAGGUUCAAGUGUAUUGGCCUCUUCCCAAGCCAAGGAUGAAGCAUCCAGUUCACAGGAUUCCCAGACCUUGCGGAGCUGUACACAGCAAGGAGCAGGAGCAGGAGGCGUUUGCAGUUACACAGCCCUUGCAUGAGCAACCAUGUAUUUGGCGCUUGGUGAGAACCGCUGAAGAUAUACUUGGUCACUGCACAGUUCUCCUUCAGGCCUCUCCUCACAAACUAAAGGCUGUUUAACAUUUUAUUGGUCUCUAGUGUUCCUAAUACAAUUGUGUCUGCCAAGGAGUGGACCAAAGGCAAGGCUAACUUCUGGUCCUGAAAUGGCCUCUCCUGCUGCUGUUUCCAGAGGUGGGCUAGUCAGCUUUGUAGGCCCUGGGCCUUACCAGCCAGGCUGUCACUUCAGUUUUCACUUUCUGCUGGCAGUUCCCUUUCGUAGCUGCCAAACCCACCUCCUCUGUUCCUCACUCAGUAUUGUUUCUCAAACACAGCAUCUAAUGUUUAUUCUCAUUUUCUGAAUGCUGGACUGUUCACUUGUUCACCCUUCCGAAUGGCGUAGCCACCUAUUCAUACUUCGAAGUUCCUGCCACAGAAAUGUGAGAAAGAGUAUAUACCCAGCUUGAUGUAAAGCACUGGAAAAAAGCCCCCUAGUUUAUUGUCUUCAUCAACCUAAGAUCACGUCCUCUAACUUAACAUUUUUAGUAUACCUCUUUAUCCCAUUUGUGAGAAAUCUAUCAAGUGAAGAGCCUCAGCAUGGUAUGACAGUUACAAUCCUUCCUAAAAUUACAUUUCAUCAUACAGCAUGUACUGAAAGUUGAGAAUAAGGUUGAUUCUUAACACUUCAUCUUCUGUUGUCAUGAGUCUCGUUUUCCAGACUUACUACCAACAUUAUGAAUGUACUGAGUGUUUCAGAGUGCAAGACAAGAACGGCAUGUCAGCUGUUUUCAUCAGGGUGUGCAAAUGAGAUUUGUAGAAGCCCAAUGGAAGAACAUUGCAUCAACUAAUAGAGACUUCAAGAGUAAAUCUGCCUAGUUUGUUUCCUUAUCAGUUUGGACUAAACAUACUUGUUGGCUGAAAAUUAUACAUGUCACCUGCCAGAUUGGAAGAAAAUCAGAAGCUGUCCUGGUAAAAUGAGGAAGUGAGCAGUGAGGAACUGACCAUUCAAUUGACAGUGAACUAUUAAUGUAAAUACUUUUCUUUACACUAAAGAGAGGACCUGCCAUUUAAAAUUGACAGGUUAGCACAUGCUAAAAUAUUGUCCCUAUAUUAGACUGCCCAAAAUUCUGUUAACUAGCAUAAAUGAAUAUAUGACACUCAUGUUUUUGUUCAUCCUUAUUUGGACAAUGCCACAGGCUUUUUUUCAUUCCCUUGAAUGAUACAGUCCAGAAAUUUACCAGGUCUUCAAAAUUAAAAUCAGCUGUUAAGUUACUGAUAUAUUAUCCUAUUGUAAUUCUUUUCCCCCAGAAAAGAAAACAUACAUUUAUUCAGAUGGAGUUUAACUUGCAGCAUGGCUGCUUAAAAUCUGCUUGUAACAAGUAAGAUGGUCCUUUGAAGAGGAGAAAUACUCUCCUGACUCUUUACCCGCUGAUAAUUGCCACUACAGAGGUGAGUGCAAAAAAGGAUUUGAAGGGGUCCAGUCCUCCAAACCACUGUAUGCAGAAUUUCAAAAUAAGCUAUUUUGCAGUGGCAUUACUCCUUUCCCUCCUAAUACUCGUCCUCUUUUACUUCUCUGUGAUUCCCAAAUGCACUGACUCAGUUGACUAAAUUUACCCUGGCAUAAGAGGCUGUAGCUCCACUUCAUUCAUUGACAUUUACCUACAACACAGUUACCCUGCACGGGAAUAUUUCACACAGGCUAGGUGUAGAGGUUUCCCCGACCACUGUCAGUCCUGAGCUUCAGCCAUUCUACUUCAGUCAUGUGCAGCAUUUGUGCAAGGUAAAUAAUACAAGAGUCAAACUCAGGAAGACGAGAGGAUGAAGAGCAGACUGUUAAUGAAAUGGGAAUGGUUUAUUUAAUAUGACUAUGACCUAGCAUGCUUUAGCUUCACCAGCUCAUCAGUGUCAGUUCCCCUAAUCUGUAUGCAGCACUGACACUGACAGAGCUUCUUAACAUAACAGUGAAAUCAUAGAAUCAUAGAA
This is a long non-coding RNA of Neopsephotus bourkii (Bourke's parrot), 2172 nucleotides long. RefSeq lists it as uncharacterized. NCBI's taxonomy places the organism in Eukaryota, Metazoa, Chordata, Aves, Psittaciformes, Psittacidae. The record is from RefSeq and is a predicted model, not a curated record. The transcript is spliced from 2 exons.